Molecule: non-coding RNA, 1675 nt
Organism: Erythranthe guttata (spotted monkey flower)
Lineage: Eukaryota; Viridiplantae; Streptophyta; Magnoliopsida; Lamiales; Phrymaceae
Source: RefSeq, a predicted model, not a curated record
AAUUACUUUUCAUCUCAACCGAGAUUUCCGAUCGUCGUCGUUUUGAUAAUUAAGCUAAUUCUGCGGGUGUUUGCAUUUUUCGUGAUGCGCAGAAGGUGGUGAAGGAUUCGUCGAGAGAUUCUAAUGGAGUUCGCCGGAAUGCUUUGGUGCUAUCCGGAAGCAAAAGACCGUCGUCGGAGUCUUUUCGGAGCAGUGAUGAUCGUCGAUUUAGCAAUGCCAAAAGAAUGAGAGUGGGUGUGAGUGCACGGAGCUACGGGUACGACAGCCGUUUAGACGAUUCAAAAGAUCUUCGCCUGAAACUAACACGCAAGAGAAUGGUUAUUCUGUUCUGAAAUAAUAGGAAUUCUACGUCUUGCACGAUCCAGCCUCAUUGGUAUUCUUGUUUUCAAUUAUAAAAUAUUAUUUCCAAUCUUAUUUCUGUAAUGAGGAUUUUCAGAUUGCUUUACUCCGGUGAGGUUUACACCUAUUUUUAUUUUUGACAUGACUGAGUAUGCCUGUGGAGUGUGGACUACAAAUUUCUUACCUAUUGAUUUAGAUGUGUCACAAAUUACAUUAGUUCUCAUUCUCUACUGUGAUUGUAAAGUGCAGUUUGGGAAUGCUUCUGACACAGCCAUGAAUUUGCUUGAUGAAAAAUUUAAGUUCCUCGCAUGAGCAAAACAGAUAAUCAGUAGGACGGAUGAAGUUCAAAAGGCACUGCUGGCAUGCCUCCAAGAUGCCCCAAAUAAUUCCCUCUUUCAUAAAGAAAACUGCUAUGGAAAGAUGUACCUUCUUAGCACUUGCGAUGAUUCCUUCUUCACCAAACAUUCAAGAAAAUCACAUUUUCCUGAAACAUGGCUCACCGGCAGAGACUGAUUAAGGGCAGGAAGUAGAAGCUAUGAAGGAGCGGAUAUGGUGAGACGGCAGUUGACAGGGGUCGAAACUGGAGGCUUCUUCGUGCUUUUGAUGCUAUGCCAAAGCUUUUCCCCAGGAUCUCAUGAUGGAGAGAUUAGUUGGAAUUUGGAAAUAGUUCAACAACCCUUUUACUGAUUUGUUUUGAUUAAAUUUUCAUUUAGCCUUUGCAUAUGGGACUUUAGAACUUGAGAGCUUGAGAGAAAAUGUUAUCCUAAUGUUGUUACUGAGGUUUUUCAGAAUGCCCCUUCUAUGCUUAUUGUUGAGGUUAGAAAAGCAAAGUCAGAUACAUGCUAGACGCCGCUUUGUUCGAUUCUCGCCGCGGCCACCCCUUCCACUGAUACACAUGGUAGGCCACGUUCCGACGGCUUUCACCUACUUUUUUUCCACCUCGGCCCCUUCUCGACCACAUCGAAGAUUGGAUAAUUCAAAAAUAAUGAUUUCUGGUGCGUCGUCCUUUUUUUUUCACUUCUCCAUUUCUCUUCCAAAAAUUAUGCAAAUAUAUGUCAAUCAGCCAUUUUCUUUGCUGCUCCUGUUUUUUUUUCUUACUGCAAGAUCGGUUCCACUAAAGAAAAAAAAAAUAUUGGGUUUUCUAAGUUCCCUGUUUCCGUCCAAAAUUAGGCGUCGCGCUUCUAGCCAACCACACUUCGUUCCAUGCUUCGGAAUUCUAUCGAAUGAGGUGGACUCAAUUUUUUUUGUCUUUGUUAUAUUUCAGCCAUUUUUCCUCCUGUCAGCACUAAAAGAUUCUGUUUUUCCAGAUUUUAUUUUUUAUUUUUUAUUUUUUUAU